ACCCGGUCUCGUCAGAUCAUCGAAGUUAAGCAACAUUGGGUCAAGUUAGUACUUGGAUGGGUGACCGCCUGGGAAUACUUGAUGCUGUAGGUAA
Molecule: ribosomal RNA, 94 nt
Filed under: Acartia pacifica
Lineage: Eukaryota; Metazoa; Arthropoda; Copepoda; Calanoida; Acartiidae
Source: RNAcentral